GACGAACGCUGGCGGCGUGCUUAACACAUGCAAGUCGAACGAUGAACCCGGAGCUUGCUCUGGGGGAUUAGUGGCGAACGGGUGAGUAACACGUGAGUAACCUGCCCUGGACUCUGGGAUAAGCGUUGGAAACGACGUCUAAUACCGGAUAGGACCUUGGAUCGCAUGAUCUGGGGUGGAAAGUUUUUUCGGUCUGGGAUGGACUCGCGGCCUAUCAGCUUGUUGGUGAGGUAAUGGCUCACCAAGGCGUCGACGGGUAGCCGGCCUGAGAGGGUGACCGGCCACACUGGGACUGAGACACGGCCCAGACUCCUACGGGAGGCAGCAGGGGGGAAUAUUGCACAAUGGGCGAAAGCCUGAUGCAGCAACGCCGCGUGCGGGAGGACGGCCUUCGGGUUGUAAACCGCUUUUAGUAGGGAAGAAGGGCUUCGGCUUGACGGUACCUGCAGAAAAAGGACCGGCUAACUACGUG
RNAcentral lists this ribosomal RNA (472 nucleotides) under uncultured bacterium. Its description in RNAcentral is "partial 16S ribosomal RNA". It matches the Rfam family "Bacterial small subunit ribosomal RNA", at positions 28 to 507 of the family's 1533-position model. The record is from RNAcentral.